GUACAAAUUUAGUUUAAGGAAUCAAAUCAUAAAGAAAUGGGUUCGUAAUUUUGUUAUUUUUGAUAUUUUCAUACUAAUUUUAACGCACUUUUUCAGGAUCUUUUUUUUUUUAGCAUCUUCUAUAAGUCUUCAGACCUCAUCAUUAAUAUGAUUGGUACUUAUAUAUAUCGCACAAUAUAGACACCUCUAUGAUUGUUGUAUUUGUGCGACUUUUAAAGUUUUAAAACAAAAUUCUCGAGGGAUAUAAUUAAACUAAAUUUUUUUUUUAGCAUCUGCUGUAAAUUUUCAGACCUCAUCAUUAAUAUGAUUGGUAUUUAUAUAUAUCGCACAAUAUAGACACCUCUAUGAUUGUUGUAUUUGUGCGACUUUUAAGUUUUUAAAACAAAAUUCUCGAGGGAUAUAUAAUAAACUAAAUUUUUUUUUUAGCAUCUGCUGCAAAUUUUCAGACCUCAUCAUUAAUAUGAUUGGUAUUUAUUUAUAUCGCACAAUAUAGACACCUCUAUGAUUGUUGUAUUUGUGCGAAUUUUAAGUUUUUCAAAAUUUAAAAAGAAUGCUCGU
Non-coding RNA from Cinara cedri, 558 nucleotides. Lineage: Eukaryota; Metazoa; Arthropoda; Insecta; Hemiptera; Aphididae. The record is from the annotation of a GenBank genome assembly.